GGGGGUGUGGCUCAGUGACAGAGCACUUGCCUAGCAAGCAAGAGGUCCUGGGCUUGGGUUCAAUUCCCAACACCUUAA
Non-coding RNA from Ictidomys tridecemlineatus (thirteen-lined ground squirrel), 78 nucleotides. NCBI's taxonomy places the organism in Eukaryota, Metazoa, Chordata, Mammalia, Rodentia, Sciuridae. The record is from Rfam.